GCUCUCUUAGCUCAGUCGGUUAGAGCGUGGUGCUAAUAACGCCAAGGUCACAGGUUCGACCCCUGUAGGGAGCA
Molecule: non-coding RNA, 74 nt
Organism: Furculomyces boomerangus
Lineage: Eukaryota; Fungi; Kickxellomycota; Harpellomycetes; Harpellales; Harpellaceae
Source: the annotation of a GenBank genome assembly